RNAcentral lists this transfer RNA (56 nucleotides) under Oxyrrhis marina. RNAcentral describes it as "partial tRNA". Lineage: Eukaryota; Dinophyceae; Oxyrrhinales; Oxyrrhinaceae. The record is from RNAcentral.
AGUGGCCUUGUGGUAUGACAUCCGCCUGGAAGCCCGGGGGACGUGUGUUCGAGUCC